CCUACGGGAGGCUGCAGUGGGGAAUAUUGCACAAUGGGGGGAACCCUGAUGCAGCGACGCCGCGUGAGUGAAGACGUAUUUCGGUAUGUAAAGCUCUAUCAGCAGGGAAGAAAAUGACGGUACCUGACUAAGAAGCCCCGGCUAACUACGUGCCAGCAGCCGCGGUAAUACGUAGGGGGCAAGCGUUAUCCGGAUUUACUGGGUGUAAAGGGAGCGUAGACGGUUAUGCAAGUCUGAAGUGAAAGCCUGAGGCUCAACCAUGGGACUGCUAUGGAAACUGUAAAACUGGAGUGCAGGAGAGGUAAGCGGAAUUCCUAGUGUAGCGGUGAAAUGCGUAGAUAUUAGGAGGAACACCAGUGGCGAAGGCGGCUUACUGGACUGUAACUGACGUUGAGGCUCGAAGGCGUGGGGAGCAAACAGGAUUAGAUACCCUAGUAGUC
RNAcentral lists this ribosomal RNA (440 nucleotides) under uncultured bacterium. Its description in RNAcentral is "partial 16S ribosomal RNA". It matches the Rfam family "Bacterial small subunit ribosomal RNA", at positions 338 to 795 of the family's 1533-position model. The record is from RNAcentral.